RNAcentral lists this ribosomal RNA (379 nucleotides) under Pleurocapsa sp. AECC1300. RNAcentral describes it as "bacterial SSU rRNA". It matches the Rfam family "Bacterial small subunit ribosomal RNA", at positions 376 to 770 of the family's 1533-position model. The record is from RNAcentral. Lineage: Bacteria; Bacillati; Cyanobacteriota; Cyanophyceae; Pleurocapsales; Pleurocapsaceae.
CGCAAGCCUGACGGAGCAAUACCGCGUGAGGGAGGAAGGCUCUUGGGUUGUAAACCUCUUUUCUCAGGGAAGAAGCAAUGACGGUACCUGAGGAAUAAGCAUCGGCUAACUCCGUGCCAGCAGCCGCGGUAAUACGGAGGAUGCAAGCGUUAUCCGGAAUUAUUGGGCGUAAAGCGUCCGCAGGUGGCUCGACAAGUCUGCUGUCAAAGACCGAAGCUCAACUUCGGGUAGGCGGUGGAAACUGUCAAGCUAGAGACCGGUAGGGGUAGAGGGAAUUCACAGUGUAGCGGUGAAAUGCGUAGAUAUUGUGAAGAACACCAGUGGCGAAGGCGCUCUACUGGGCCGGUACUGACACUCAGGGACGAAAGCUAGGGGAGCG